GUAGUAGAUUAAUUAACCAACUUCGGGCACCCCCAACUUCCAUGGUGUGACGGGCGGUGUGUACAAGACCCGGGAACGCAUUCACCGCGGCAUUCUGAUCCGCGAUUACUAGCAACUCCGACUUCAUGUAGGCGGGUUGCAGCCUACAAUCCGAACUGGGACCGGCUUUUGGGUUUCGCUCCAUCUCACGAUAUUGCUUCCUGUUGUACCGGCCAUUGUAGCACGUGUGUAGCCCAGAACAUAAGGGGCAUGAUGAUUUGACGUCAUCCCCACCUUCCUCCGAGUUGUCCCCGGCAGUCCCUCUAGAGUGCCCGACCUAAUCGCUGGCAACUAAAGGCAAGGGUUGCGCUCGUUGCGGGACUUAACCCAACAUCUCACGACACGAGCUGACGACAACCAUGCACCACCUGUCAUCCUUGUCCGAAGAGGGCCGGGCGUUACCCCGGCUUUCAAGGAGAUGUCAAGCCCUGGUAAGGUUCUUCGCGUUGCUUCGAAUUAAACCACAUGCUCCGCUGCUUGUGCGGGUCCCCGUCAAUUCCUUUGAGUUUUACACUUGCGUGCGUACUCCCCAGGCGGAGCACUUAAUGCGUUAACUGCGGCACCGAGGUUUCUCCCCGACACCUAGUGCUCAUCGUUUACGGCGUGGACUACCAGGGUAUCUAAUCCUGGUNGCUCCCACGCUUUCUGCCUCAUGGCAGUUCAAUCCAAAAGCCGCUUCGCCAUGGGGUUCCCCUAAUCUACCAUUUAC
RNAcentral lists this ribosomal RNA (748 nucleotides) under uncultured rumen bacterium. RNAcentral describes it as "partial 16S ribosomal RNA". The record is from RNAcentral.